CUAUAUGCCUUGAAAAUUAUAACAUUUCCUGAUAUAGAAGUCUAGAACAAGAGACAUGAACUAUGAAACUUAUUCAGUUUCUACCCUUGGAAGUGUCAUUAUUUUAAGAGAGCAUGAAAUUGGCCUUAUAUUCACCAACAACUCUUUUCUAGGAUAUUUUUGACUUGAGGCAAAUAUUUUGUGGAAUGGUUGACAGACUGUUAUUCUGGUCACUCAAUUAUGAAAGCAGACAAAAGUGAAAUUCAGGGCGGCAUCUAGAGGGGAGAAAAUCAAUGACUCAGGUAAGUUUACCAGCCACAGCUAAAGAGGGAGGUGCACACUGGAAAUCUGCAAGCAUCAUCUUCCCUCACCCAUGUCUCUUCUUCCAAGACACAUGUCCAACUCCAGACUUAAUGUGUUUGUUUGUGACUUCUCCCCUUAAAGGUUGCUUGGGUUUACUUGUACCGGUUUAAAAAUGUCCUCAUGAGUAACUGCCUUAUUCAGCAGCCCCAGCAUAAAUAAAUCUUGACUUCUACCGUUCUUGGCUAGAGACAACUCUAAGCCUGGAUGGCCUACUCAACCCAGCAGGUUGGUAGCGUGACAGGAGGCACAGUGUUACAAUAGCCACUAGAGCACCUCGACUCAAAUACCCAAAGCAGCAGUUUAAUGAUGGUAUUUUUUCCUUUAAAGGCAAUGAUAGCUAAGCAGCUGUUUUAUUCUUAGAGAAGUUCUAUGACAGGAAUUGGAAGAAGUGUUUCCUAUUUUGCAGCUAAAAAUGUGAUUAUUUGGAUUGAGGAUUGCUUACUGCUGUAAAUUUAAUGUUAAAGAAAUCAAGAAUGUUUCAUUUUAUCGUAUCUUCUGUCAAAGAAAAUGACAGAAAAUAUAAUAAAACUGCAGUUCAUGACCUUCGGUAAGCUAUGAAAUAAUUUAGGAGGUCAUGACUAGCAAACUUAUUUAUUAUACUCUAAGUACUAUAACUUUAUAAUAUCUUUGCUAAAAAAUCAUGUAAUGGAUAUUAAUUAUGUAUUAAGGACCAAAUCUGCAUUUUUCCUGAAAAUAAUGAACAAAAUCUAUGUAUUAUGUAACAGUCUAAAAUGUUUAAAAUUCAUAUUUUAAGUACUAAUGCAUAUUGAUUACAGAGAGUAAAAAGAAGAUUACACUUGCCCAUAAACCCAGCAGCUACAGACAAAUGGGCUAUUGUUAAUAUAUUGGUAAUUUUCUGUCCAUAUGCUCUUUCUCUGCAUAUAUAAAAAUAUAUGAUAUUUUUUCCUUUCAAAAUAGGGUGAUUCUAGUAAAUUUUUCACCCAUGCGUUGUCGACAUCUUUCCAUACCUAUAUAGUUCUACCACAUUAUUUUUAAUAAUGGCAUAUAUUCUGCAUUAUGAGUAUAUUAUAAUAUAUUUAACGAAACUGCUCAGUUUUGGAUAUUUAUAAACCAAUGUUUUUUAGUCUGCAGUUCAUGACCCUUAGUAGGCUAUGAAAUAAUUUAGGAGGUCAUGACUAGCAAUCUUAUUUAUUAUACCUUAAAUACUAUAGCUUUAUGGUGUGUUUCAUUAAAU
Molecule: long non-coding RNA, 1537 nt
Filed under: Homo sapiens (human)
Lineage: Eukaryota; Metazoa; Chordata; Mammalia; Primates; Hominidae
Description: LHRI_LNC1974.1
Source: RNAcentral